This 439-nucleotide ribosomal RNA is filed under the name uncultured bacterium. RNAcentral's name for it is "partial 16S ribosomal RNA". It matches the Rfam family "Bacterial small subunit ribosomal RNA", at positions 339 to 795 of the family's 1533-position model. The record is from RNAcentral.
CUACGGGACGCUGCAGUGAGGAAUAUUGCACAAUGGGGGGAACCCUGAUGCAGCAACGCCGCGUGGAGGAUGACGCAUUUCGGUGUGUAAACUCCUUUUAUAUGUCAAGAAAAUGACGGUAGCAUAUGAAUAAGCACCGGCUAACUCCGUGCCAGCAGCCGCGGUAAUACGGAGGGUGCAAGCGUUACUCGGAAUCACUGGGCGUAAAGGACGCGUAGGCGGGCUGGAAAGUCAGGUGUGAAAUCAUACAGCUUAACUGUAGAACUGCACUUGAAACUUCUAAUCUAGAGUAUGGGAGGGGGAGAUGGAAUUAGUGGUGUAGGGGUAAAAUCCGUAGAUAUCACUAGGAAUACCUAAAGCGAAGGCGAUCUCCUGGAACAUUACUGACGCUAAGGCGUGAAAGCGUGGGGAGCAAACAGGAUUAGAUACCCGAGUAGUC